RNAcentral lists this microRNA precursor (58 nucleotides) under Dasypus novemcinctus (nine-banded armadillo). RNAcentral describes it as "microRNA dno-mir-376d precursor". Its record names the gene dno-mir-376d. The record is from miRBase by way of RNAcentral. Lineage: Eukaryota; Metazoa; Chordata; Mammalia; Cingulata; Dasypodidae.
GUAGAUUUUCCUUCUGUGACUACGUGCUUGAGGAUUAAUCAUAGAGGAAAAUCCACCU